AAAUGUAGUAGACUUUAAGUAUA
RNAcentral lists this microRNA (23 nucleotides) under Oreochromis niloticus (Nile tilapia). RNAcentral describes it as "oni-miR-728b". Its record names the gene oni-miR-728b. Lineage: Eukaryota; Metazoa; Chordata; Actinopteri; Cichliformes; Cichlidae. The record is from miRBase by way of RNAcentral.